CGUAAACUUUUAACUACACCUACAUCGCCAGGGAACUACGAGCAAAGCUUAAAACCCAAAGGACUUGACGGUACCCCACAUCCACCUAGAGGAGCCUGUCCUAUAAUCGAUAACCCCCGCUAAACCUCACCAUUUUUGGUUAAUCAGCCUGUAUACCUCCGUCGUCAGCUUACCUCGUGAGCGAUCUAUAGUGAGCUUAAUGUCCACACGUCAAUACGUCAGGUCAAGGUGCAGUAAAUAAAAUGGGAAGAGAUGGGCUACACUCUCUAAUAUAGAAUAUACGAAAGACUAUAUAUGAAACCUAGUCAAAAGGCGGAUUUAGUAGUAAAAAGAGAUCAUUAAGCUCUUUUUAACACGGCACUGGGGUGUGUACACACCGCCCGUCACCCUCUUCAAUACCAAGAAAUAGUAUAUAACACAUAUCAGUAAACUAGAAGAGGCAAGUCGUAACAUGGUAAGUAUACCGGAAGGUGUGCUUGGAAA
RNAcentral lists this ribosomal RNA (483 nucleotides) under Pseudacris hypochondriaca (Baja California treefrog). RNAcentral's name for it is "partial 12S ribosomal RNA". It matches the Rfam family "Bacterial small subunit ribosomal RNA", at positions 801 to 1522 of the family's 1533-position model. Lineage: Eukaryota; Metazoa; Chordata; Amphibia; Anura; Hylidae. The record is from RNAcentral.